RNA transcript from Euleptes europaea (tarantolino), 3627 nucleotides. It is a transcript of the gene named glutamate ionotropic receptor NMDA type subunit 1, with no coding region annotated. The transcript has 23 exons. NCBI's taxonomy places the organism in Eukaryota, Metazoa, Chordata, Lepidosauria, Squamata, Sphaerodactylidae. The record is from RefSeq and is a predicted model, not a curated record.
GGCGGCGGGCGAGUUCAGCACCACGGACAGCGCGGCCGGGCUUCAGCACCACGGACAGCACCGGCGUGGGUCCCGGCGUGGGCGAUGGGCGGCUGAGCGGGCCGGUGGUCCAUGAGCGCGAUGCGCCUCUUGCUCCUCGCCGUGCUCGUCUCCUUCUCGUUCGCCCGCGCCGGCUGCGAGCCCAAGAUCGUCAAUAUCGGCGCGGUGCUGAGCACCAAGAAACACGAGCAGGUCUUCCGCGAGGCCAUCAACCAGGCGAACAAGCGCCAUGGCACCUGGAAGAUCCAGCUCAACGCCACCUCCGUCACGCACAAGCCCAACGCCAUCCAGAUGGCCCUGUCCGUUUGCGAGGAUCUUAUCUCCAGCCAGGUCUAUGCCAUCUUAGUGAGCCACCCACCAGCUCCAAAUGACCACCUAACGCCAACGCCUGUGUCAUACACAGCCGGUUUCUAUAGGAUCCCUGUUAUUGGUCUGACAACACGCAUGUCUAUAUAUUCAGAUAAGAGCAUCCACCUGUCCUUCCUGCGCACUGUCCCCCCCUAUUCCCACCAGUCCAAUGUCUGGUUUGAAAUGAUGCGCUAUUAUAAGUGGAACCACAUCAUUCUCAUAGUCAGCGACGAUCAUGAGGGGCGGGCUGCGCAAAAGAAGCUGGAGACCCUCUUGGAAGAAAAAGAAUCCAAGAGUAAAAAAAGGAACUAUGAAAACCUCGAACAACUAUCCUUUGACAACAAGCGAGGACCCAAGGCUGAGAAAGUGCUUCAGUUUGAACCUGGAACAAAAAAUGUGACUUCGCUGCUGCUUGAAGCUAAGGAACUGGAGGCCCGGGUUAUUAUCCUCUCUGCAAGUGAGGAUGAUGCUACAACUGUGUACACGUCGGCAGCCAAAGAAAACAUGACUGGCCCAGGCUAUGUGUGGCUGGUAGGGGAAAGGGAGAUCUCAGGCAAUGCCCUGCGUCAUGCACCAGAAGGGCUUAUUGGUUUGCAGCUUAUGAAUGGGAAGAACGAAUCUGCUCACAUCAGGGACGCAGUGGCUGUGGUGGCCCAGGCUGUUCAUGACUUGUUUGAGAAGGAGAACAUUACAGACCCACCAAGGGGCUGUGUGGGAAACACUAACAUCUGGAAGACAGGGCCUCUGUUCAAGAGAGUGCUGAUGCAGACCAAGUAUGCAGAGGGUGUAACUGGCCGGGUGGAGUUCAACGAAGAUGGAGACCGGAAAUAUGCCAAUUACAGUGUCAUGAAUUUACAGAACAAUAAAUUGGUGCAAGUUGGAGUCUACAAUGGUAGCCACUUCCUGCCCAAUGACCGCAAGAUCAUCUGGCCUGGAGGAGAAACGGAGACACCACAGGGCUACGAAAUGUCAACAAAAUUAAAGAUCGUCACAAUCCACCAAGAGCCCUUUGUCUACGUGAAGCCAACCAUGUUAGAUGGAAAAUGCAAAGCCCUGCUCAACAGUACUGGGGGGCUGGUGCAGCAGGUCCUCUGCACUGGGCCUAAUGAGACUAUGCCAGGACGCCCCAGUGUGAUGCUGUGUUGCUAUGGCUUCUGUAUUGACCUACUGAUCAAGCUUGCUAAGACAAUGAAUUUUACCUAUGAAGUUCACCUUGUAGGCGAUGGUAAAUUUGGCACACAAGAGCGGGUGAACAACAGCAACAAGAAAGAGUGGAAUGGGAUGAUGGGGGAGCUGCUGAGCGGUCAAGCGGAUAUGAUUGUGGCCCCACUGACUAUCAACAACGAGCGAGCGCAAUACAUUGAAUUCUCCAAGCCUUUCAAAUACCAGGGACUCACCAUCUUGGUCAAAAAGGAAAUUCCCCGCAGCACACUGGACUCAUUCAUGCAACCAUUCCAGAGCACUUUGUGGCUUUUGGUGGGGCUUUCGGUGCAUGUGGUAGCAGUGAUGUUGUAUCUCCUUGACCGCUUCAGCCCGUUUGGCCGGUUUAAAGUGAACAGCGAGGAAGAAGAAGAGGAUGCCCUGACACUCUCUUCUGCUAUGUGGUUCUCCUGGGGAGUCCUCCUGAACUCUGGCAUCGGAGAAGGUGCUCCCCGGAGUUUCUCAGCUCGAAUUCUUGGAAUGGUAUGGGCUGGAUUUGCUAUGAUUAUUGUGGCCUCAUAUACUGCCAACCUGGCUGCCUUCCUGGUGUUGGACAGACCUGAGGAACGAAUCACAGGCAUCAAUGAUCCCAGGCUGCGAAACCCCUCGGAUAAGUUCAUAUAUGCUACAGUCAAGCAAAGUUCGGUGGACAUUUACUUCCGCCGUCAGGUCGAGCUGAGCACCAUGUACCGCCACAUGGAGAAACAUAAUUAUGAGAGUGCUGCUGAAGCCAUCCAGGCCGUCAGGGAUAACAAGCUCCAUGCAUUCAUCUGGGAUUCGGCUGUGCUAGAAUUUGAAGCCUCGCAGAAGUGUGACCUGGUGACGACGGGGGAGCUGUUCUUCCGCUCUGGCUUUGGCAUCGGGAUGCGCAAGGACAGCCCUUGGAAGCAGAACGUCUCCCUGGCCAUCCUCAACCUCCAUGAGAAUGGCUUCAUGGAAGAGCUUGACAAGACUUGGGUGAGGUAUCAGGAGUGUGAUUCCCGAAGCAAUGCCCCAGCAACGCUCACCUUUGAGAACAUGGCAGGUGUAUUCAUGCUGGUGGCUGGAGGUAUUGUGGCCGGGAUAUUUUUAAUAUUCAUAGAAAUAGCUUACAAAAGGCAUAAAGACGCCCGGAGGAAGCAGAUGCAACUGGCGUUUGCAGCCGUUAAUGUGUGGAGGAAAAACCUGCAGUCCUCUCUCUCUCUUGUGGCCGUAGGAUUCACCUUCAGAAAAGGCCCCGAGCAUUUUUAUUUAGUGGAUAGAAAAAGUGGUAGAGCAGAACCAGACCCUAAAAAGAAAGCCACUUUUAGGUCCUUCACCUCUACCCUGGCCUCCAGCUUCAAGAGACGUAGGUCCUCCAAAGACACGACAGCCCCGCGAUGUCACCACGCCCAGAAUCCGUGAGCUGCAGAUAAGCCCUGUAGAGAAUCCCCGGCUUCAGGAGCUGCUCAGCACAGGCAGUAUCAGCCCACUGACAUCACUGGGCAGCUCAACCUCUCCGACCCCUCGGUCAGCACCGUGGUGUGACAUCUGGGCGCUGUCACCGCCGGUUGUGGCCAGGCAGACACACCAAGGGAUAGACCAAUGGAGACUCUGACGGGUCCUUCCUGGAUACACCGAAGGAAAGCCUUUGCCAUCCAGCCAAGGUGUAUGCAUUGCUUUCUUCUCUCCAUUGUAGAUCCCCUUCUCUUCCUUGGCCAGCUGACUUCCCAAGUUUGGGAUGAACUACAGAACAUGAGGCCUUGGAGUGGCCAGACCCCACUUUGCAUAGCCGGUGGCCUCCAUUUAUUUCUCUUUUUGACACCAACUGAGACAGAGAAGGUGGCUCCACGUAGCACAGCAAGCAUGCCAAGGAUAUUAGCGCUCAUCGAAGCAGGCUUGGAUCCUUUGCAGUGAGGAGAGAGUCUCUUUAUCAUACAUGCAUGUAUGGAAUGUCAUACGCCUGCCUUAUCCCAUUUUCACACCACGUAAGAGGACUAUGGAGGGGAAUCCGCGUCCCCCUGCACUCACGGGUCCUUGUACAUAGCACACCAUGCAAAGAACAUGCCCAUCUAUACCGCA